CGUGUAGGCGGCUCUUCAAGUCUUUGGUGAAAUCUCCCGGCUUAACCGGGAGGGUGCCAGGGAAACUGGAGGGCUUGAGGGCAGCAGAGGGGGGUGGAAUUCCCGGUGUAGUGGUGAUAUGCGUAGAUAUCGGGAGGAACACCAGUGGCGAAGGCGGCCCCCUGGGCUGUUCCUGACGCUGAGGCGCGAAAGCGUGGGGAGCAAACA
RNAcentral lists this ribosomal RNA (207 nucleotides) under uncultured bacterium. RNAcentral describes it as "partial 16S ribosomal RNA". It matches the Rfam family "Bacterial small subunit ribosomal RNA", at positions 568 to 774 of the family's 1533-position model. The record is from RNAcentral.